RNAcentral lists this ribosomal RNA (497 nucleotides) under uncultured bacterium. RNAcentral describes it as "partial 16S ribosomal RNA". It matches the Rfam family "Bacterial small subunit ribosomal RNA", at positions 28 to 507 of the family's 1533-position model. The record is from RNAcentral.
GAUGAACGCUGGCGGCGUGCCUAAUACAUGCAAGUCGAGCGAACAGAUGAGGAGCUUGCUCCUCUGACGUUAGCGGCGGACGUGUGAGUAACACGUGGAUAACCUACCUAUAAGACUGGGAUAACUUCGGGAAACCGGAGCUAAUACCGGAUAAUAUAUUGAACCGCAUGGUUCAAUAGUGAAAGACGGUUUUGCUGUCACUUAUAGAUGGAUCCGCGCCGCAUUAGCUAGUUGGUAAGGUAACGGCUUACCAAGGCAACUAUGCGUAGCCGACCUGAGAGGGUGAUCGGCGACACUGGAGAUGAGACAAGGUCAAGACUCCUGCGGGAGGCAGCAGUAGGGAAUCUACCGCAAUGGGCGAAAGCCUGACGGAGCAACGCAGCGUGAGUGAUGACGGUCUUAGGAUCGUAAAACUCUGUUAUUAGGGAAGAACAAAUGUGUAAGUAACUAUGCACGUCUUGACGGUACCUAAUCAGAAGGCCACGGCUAGCUAGGAG